AAUGAAUUGCCUGAAAAAGGACUACCUUGAUAGGGUAAAUUAUGUGGAAAAUUACACCACAUUCAUUA
RNAcentral lists this transfer RNA (68 nucleotides) under Nephrotoma tenuipes. RNAcentral's name for it is "tRNA-Ile". Lineage: Eukaryota; Metazoa; Arthropoda; Insecta; Diptera; Tipulidae. The record is from RNAcentral.